UGGGAACAGAAGGAAACAUGAGUGACGC
Molecule: non-coding RNA, 28 nt
Filed under: Homo sapiens (human)
Lineage: Eukaryota; Metazoa; Chordata; Mammalia; Primates; Hominidae
Source: RNAcentral